UCAUGCACAGACUGCCCUUUCCAGUUCUUGUCCCCAUAUUUCCAGACAGGUUAAACUUCUUGCACUGCCUUGACCAGUCAGUAAGCUUCCAUCAACCCCUUCUCAUACUGCCUACAUGUCCCACACCCUUGAUUAUCAGGCUUCUCACCUUUUAAAUUCCUCCAUUAUGACUUUACAAAUUCAGCCUUGAUCUCUACCUUGGCCCUUCACCCAGCCAGAAUUAACAGUCCUGCUUUCAUGCCUUUGCUUGCCACCCAGCUUAGCCUCUUAUCUCAGCUUCUGAAACAUUCUUCAAGGAUAGAAGAGUCUAUGAAGUACAGAAAAGAGGAAAGAUCUGCAAACAAUUCGGUAUCUUCUUUUAACUUGAAACUCAUUCUACCCACUGCUACAGCUAGUGCAUUUGUGCUGAAGCUCUCAGA
RNAcentral lists this long non-coding RNA (419 nucleotides) under Homo sapiens (human). Its description in RNAcentral is "non-protein coding lnc-GADL1-1:1". The record is from RNAcentral. Lineage: Eukaryota; Metazoa; Chordata; Mammalia; Primates; Hominidae.